UACGUAGGCAGCAAGCGUUGUUCGGAGUUAUUGGGCGUAAAGAGCUCGUAGGCGGUUUGUCGCGUCUGCCGUGAAAGUCCGGGGCUCAACUCCGGAUCUGCGGUGGGUACGGGCAGACUAGAGUGAUGUAGGGGAGACUGGAAUUCCUGGUGUAGCGGUGAAAUGCGCAGAUAUCAGGAGGAACACCGAUGGCGAAGGCAGGUCUCUGGGCAUUAACUGACGCUGAGGAGCGAAAGCAUGGGGAGCGAACAGG
This 253-nucleotide ribosomal RNA is filed under the name uncultured bacterium. RNAcentral's name for it is "partial 16S ribosomal RNA". It matches the Rfam family "Bacterial small subunit ribosomal RNA", at positions 524 to 776 of the family's 1533-position model. The record is from RNAcentral.